This is a long non-coding RNA of Fundulus heteroclitus (mummichog), 462 nucleotides long. RefSeq lists it as uncharacterized. The record is from RefSeq and is a predicted model, not a curated record. NCBI's taxonomy places the organism in Eukaryota, Metazoa, Chordata, Actinopteri, Cyprinodontiformes, Fundulidae. The transcript has 3 exons.
UGGACCUGCUUUGUUCUGCUUAGCCUGGGGAGUCUGUGCUUGGCAGCUUGUCAUCAUUAUGAACUGGACUUCAGCACCAUCUCUGGUUGCAUGACAGCAAUUACCACCGCCGUGACUCGACUGCUGCUGGAGCAAUGCACCCAGAGGAAGGCGAGAGGGGAAGCCGUGUCCACAGGUCAUCCAGGGAUGGAAACAAACACGGCUCCAAGCUGCAGAGUGACGCGCUGAUGCAGGCACAUGCUCAGGAUCCAUGAAGCUGUUCAGUGAAGGUGACACCUGGUGGGCCAGUGGCAUGCUCCGGGCAUGCUCCUCAUCAGAAGGGACAAGGAAGCUGAUCAGGGCUGAUGGGAAGAUGGAUGCAGCUAAAUGCAGCUAAACUGGACUAAGAGGAUGAGUUAGCCAGAGAGGGAAGACGAGGGUUCUGGACCAGAAAGUGCCGCUGAUGUUCUGUGGAGGCAGGCG